ACCAUAAUGCACCAGUCAGCGACAAGAAUUCAGGCAGUUGUGAGAUGUUUUUUAGCUCGAAGGUUUGCUCGAAAAAAAAUGAAAGCAAUCAUAAAUAUACAGAGAACGUGGCGAAAUUACAACGUUCGAAAGCGCUUCAACUCGAAGAAGUUUAGAAAACUAAGAGAGCGAAUUAUUGUGGCUAAUUCCAACGUCACCGAGUCCAUGAAGCUUUGAAAUCGUACUCGUUCUGCACUCGACUAUUUACUAAAUUGUAAGAAUUUAACAACGGUCCGUGAAGCUCUGGUUCAUCUUGAGGUCGCAACAAGAUGGACAUUCAAGUGUUCACAACAACAGGUUGAGAAUAUCGCUCUCCGUGUUAUUUUUCAAAUUAUCCGAGACUCAAAUAGGAGUCUAGCUCACAUGGGAUUGAUCAAACUGGCGUUAGAUAUUUUCACCAAUGUGUCCAAGUGUCCAGCCACCCAGGAUGCCGUGGUUUUAAAAGAAGAAAAUGCAUUGGAAACCAUACUUGAACUCGCGUGUAUUUUUCGCGAGAAAAAGGAAAUUUUCCUCAGAGUUGCAAAGCUACUUACAAUUUUAUGUACUCACGAAAACGUAAGAAAGAAAUUACUGAAAACAGAAAACGCUGCAAUGAAGAUAUCUUCCAUUUACUCCAUCACAAAAAGGAAGUUUGAAGUCGAGAUGAAACGGAACACGAAGAUGAAACAACAAAAUGGCAAGGGCGGACGAUACAAGACUGAUAACAUUUAUGGUGAUGCCUUAACAGCCGUGAUCACUCUUAUGGAAACGAUUGGUUUAGAUUAUCCCGUAUAGAUAGGUCAAAUUUAUGCGGCAGUAUGUAAAGUAUUAUUUUUAAAUUAUUUCUUAUUUGCUCAAA
Molecule: long non-coding RNA, 877 nt
Organism: Xenia sp. Carnegie-2017
Lineage: Eukaryota; Metazoa; Cnidaria; Anthozoa; Malacalcyonacea; Xeniidae
Exons: 6
Source: RefSeq, a predicted model, not a curated record